This 451-nucleotide ribosomal RNA is filed under the name uncultured bacterium. RNAcentral's name for it is "partial 16S ribosomal RNA". It matches the Rfam family "Bacterial small subunit ribosomal RNA", at positions 28 to 507 of the family's 1533-position model. The record is from RNAcentral.
GAUGAACGCUGGCGGCGUGCCUAACACAUGCAAGUCGAGCGGCAGCGAGGGGUGCUUGCACCCUGUCGGCGAGCGGCGGACGGCUGAGUAACGCGUGGGAACGUGCCCCAAAGUGAGGAAUAACUGCCCGAAAGGGUAGCUAAUACCGCAUAUUAUCUUCGGAUCAAAGGAUUUAUCCGCUUUGGGAGCGGCUCGCGUCGGAUUAGGUAGUUGGUGAGGUAAUGGCUCACCAAGCCGACGAUCCGUAGCUGGUCUGAGAGGAUGACCAGCCAGACUGGAACUGAGACACGGUCCAGACUCCUACGGGAGGCAGCAGUGAGGUAUCUUCCACAAUGGGCGAAAGCCUGAUGGAGCAACGCCGCGUGCAGGACGAAGGCCUUCGGGUUGUAAACUGCUUUUAUAAGUGAGGAAUAUGACGGUAACUUAUGAAUAAGGAUCGGCUAACUACGUG